CGAACUGUGAGAUCAUGACCCAAGCCGAAGUCGGACGCUCAGCCGACUGAGCCACCCAGGUGCCCCCUGCUUUUGGCCUGUGUUUUAAAUUUGCACUUCCCCAGUGACUAUUGAGGUUCCGUGUCUUCUCACCUGCUUGAGCUACACGCAGCCACUCUUCUGAGAUUCUUGUUGCCCCAUUUUCACAUAGCUGGUGUUUUGCUGACCGAUUUCCAGAAGUUCUUUGUAUGUUACGGACACCAACCCUUUGCUGGUAGUGUGCCGUGGCAGAUGAUGGCUUACCUCUUCCGUUUCUUUGUGUUUGCAGAAAAUUUAAAUGUGAAUGUAGUUCUGUUUACCAUCGUUUAAUGGUUACUACUUUUGGGGCUUUGUUUUUCAAAAAGCCUAAUGUAACCCAAGAUUAGAAACUUAUUAUUCAAUGUGUUCUUCCAAAAGUUUUAAGGUUUUGCAUUUCAUAUUUAAAUCCUUAGCCAAUCUGAAAUUGAUUUUUGUGGUUGGAGUGCGGAGGGAUCAAAUUUCACUUUUCCACAUACACAAACAAUUAUCGCGCUGUUAUUUAUGUUGAAGAUGCCCGUCUUUACCCGCUUACCGGCAACGCGGUCUCUAACAUAAAUCACCGUUCCAUACAUGAGUUCUCCCCUGAAGUCUCUAUUCUGUUCCAUUUGCAUGUCUGCCUGUAACUACCCGGUAACACAGGUAAGUCACUAUAACUGUAUAAUAGGGCUUGGUGUGCGACAGGGCGAUUUUCCACUUUACUUUUCUUUUUCAGGAAUGCUGUGGCUCUUCUUGGCUGGGCCUUUACUCAUCCAGGAAAACUAGUGUUGCACAAAGACGCCUCACAGAAAAGGAUGAAGGUGAAACCCCAUGCAGAGUCGUUACAAGAAAAAAAAAGAGGAUAAAAAAUAAUCCUGGGUCAGCCUCCAGCAAAUGCCAUCUCUGAAAAGAUAGGAAGCAAUCAGUGGUCUUCGGUCCCAAAGCACGCGUCUCCUCACACACGCUUCGCACUCCCUGGGUUAAUGUCACCUGCUCUCCGUUAUCCGUACUUCAAAGGACUGGGUCACUGCUGCUGGUGCUGGGAACUUGCGUGAACCUCGGCCCAGGCGGCACAACCAUUAGAGUGACUGUGGCUUCUUUCGUGACUGCGGACGGAGGCCACUCACAGCCACUCUGCCACCGCGCUGACUCUGAGCCCUCGUGUUCUACCAGACGCCUCUUAAUAAAAUUAAUAAAUGACUUAAGGCAUAAAUAAUAAAAUUUAAUAAAA
Lynx canadensis (Canada lynx) is the source of this 1264-nucleotide long non-coding RNA. RefSeq lists it as uncharacterized. The record is from RefSeq and is a predicted model, not a curated record. Lineage: Eukaryota; Metazoa; Chordata; Mammalia; Carnivora; Felidae. The transcript has 3 exons.